GACGAACGCUGGCGGCGUGCUUAACACAUGCAAGUCGAACGGGAAGAAAGAAAGAGCUUGCUCUUUUUGGAUUCUAGUGGCAAACGGGUGAGUAACACGUAAACAACCUGCCUUCAGGAUGGGGACAACAGACGGAAACGACUGCUAAUACCGAAUACCUUCCAAUUUCUGCAUGGAGAUAGGAAGAAAGGGUGGCCUCUACUUGUAAGCUAUCGCCUGAAGAGGGGGUUUGCGUCUGAUUAGCUAGUUGGUGAGGUAACGGCCCACCAAGGCGACGAUCAGUAGCCGGUCUGAGAGGAUGAACGGCCACACUGGAACUGAGACACGGUCCAGACUCCUACGGGAGGCAGCAGUGGGGGAAUCUUCCGCAAUGGACGAAAGUCUGACGGAGCAACGCCGCGUGAACGAUGAAGGUCUUCGGAUUGUAAAGUUCUGUGAUCCGGGACGAAGGCAUUGAUUGAGAAUAUUGAUUGAUGUUGACGGUACCGGAAAAGCAAGCCACGG
Molecule: ribosomal RNA, 504 nt
Filed under: uncultured bacterium
Lineage: Bacteria
Description: bacterial SSU rRNA
Rfam family: Bacterial small subunit ribosomal RNA
Source: RNAcentral